This is an RNA transcript of Zea mays, 4943 nucleotides long. It is a transcript of the gene named U-box - DEAD helicase pseudogene, with no coding region annotated. Lineage: Eukaryota; Viridiplantae; Streptophyta; Magnoliopsida; Poales; Poaceae. The transcript has 5 exons. The record is from RefSeq and is a predicted model, not a curated record.
GUGUGCAGGUGCUAUCGGUGGCAAGGGUGCUAUCGAUCUAGGCGCACCAGAACUGGGAGCUCGCCGAGGUGGUGCUCAAGGUCCAUGUACAGCGACGCUGCAUGCGUUGCGCCCGGCCACGUACCGCGACGCCAGCCACAAGCCCGAAAUGGCCAUUUCUUCAACCCCACCACCAUGUUGGUCGUUUCUUCGAUCUUUGAUAAUAUAGCCAUACUCCAAUCUAAGUUAUUCAAACCCGACGCCUUUUGAGCGCUCCUCCGCGUUCGGCGCAGGUUCCGCCCAUGGCGUGCCAACGCGUGUGUCGGACACGAUUUUUUUUCUUCAAUUCAACAGAAUGAGCAUCGCGUCCGUGAGGCUGCCGGAGUCCCGCAACAGUUUGGACCUCCCAGCCACGCCACCUAUGACGCCGCUACCGGCUCCGAGGACGAGCCAGACCGAGCGCCCAAGAUUCCGGUUCAUGGGAGAGGUCCGCCGCGAGCGCGAGCGGAAACGCUCCCGAUCCCGGUCUCCGUCGGCGGAUCGGGACCGCUACCACCGCCGCCACUCUCAGUCGCGUCGAGGCCUUCGGCGGUGGGUGACGGCUAAGUGAAUGCGGAGGAACUGGAGAUGAUGAAUAUGAUGGGCAUUCCCGUCGGAUUCGACUCAACAGAGGUAAUGCCCCUCUCCCUCCCUCGCAUGUCUAUCUCCUAACCCUAGAUCAGCUGAUCUGUCGCUUCGUUAGCUAACUCGUCCCGUGUCGCUUAUCCCUGUUCUCGGGCGAGGUACCGAAUGAGCCGGUGGUGUCGACGAAGUCAGGGCUCUUGUUCGAGCGGCAGCUCAUCGAAUGCUACAUAGAGGUCCGUAGCUUGGUCCUGGAUCUUGUUUUGCAAAUCUUUUGAUGGGAUUGGGAAAGAUGUUUGUGCUAAAUUCAUGUCGUGAUGGCGAUCAUUCUCUACUGGGUAUACACAGUUACCUUCUUGCCCAUCGUGCUCUACUGGGUGUACACCGACGGCUACCAGUUGAUCCUUCACCCGCUUGAGCAGUACAGGCUCCACACACUGGACGAGGAGGAGGAGAAAUUCGUCAGCCUCUGCACCGUUGUAUGUGGCAUACUCCUACAGCAUCUUGUGCAUGUCAUCCACGUGAUGAUCUUGUUCAUGAUGAUGUCUGUAAGAACUUGGUCAGGAGAUCAAUCCUUGGGUGGGUGAAUCGGCUAGCAAGAAUGGUUGCAAUACUGUGAAAGAAGUGCCUGGCAGAUUACAACAAUUCGAGUCACGGGGGCAUGGUCUAGGUUUUUCGACAUAUAGCUCUGCUAGUGUCUGGGAGCUUGAGUUAUGCGCCCUUGGUGGUUUGUUUAUUCUUAUCAUACCUUAGUUGCCUCUUGUGAUGGAGAAUGAUGUUAUUGCUCGCUAUUACGGACAAGGCAAGGGGAUUGUUGUUAAGGCUAUAUACGAUCGCGAGGUCACCUGGAACCAACUAGGCACACGAGUUAACCAAUUAUCUAACAAUACCUUACUUGCAGAGUUGUUGCUUACUACACCCGGUAUGCUUGAUUCUCUAUUAACAUCAUGCAAUGUAAUUUGUGUUCAUGUGAUGCUUGAUUCUCUAUUAACAUCAUGCAAUGUAGUUUGUGUUCAUGUGAUGCUGCCCUAUUUCUUUAUACCUUAUUAUUUGUUCGAGAACGAAUCUGCUACACACAACAACAACAACAAGCUUAUUCAUGGGCCAUCUUUUCUUAGCUUUGCAUGAAUACUAGCACUUUAUCUGCUUCUUCUCUUCAACUUCUGUGCUUGCAAGCAUACCAAGGCUAUCCUUAUGGACAAUAGAAAGUGGAUCAGUAGCAGCAUCACAUUGGGACUGGUAGAAUCCUCCCAUGGGACAGAAUUAUUUUCUAAACAAAUCGUAAUGUAAUUUAAUAUGUUUUUAUUCUUUCAACAGGCAACACCCUACAACUUCUAUGUGUAGUCCUUUGGCUCCUAAUAGUUAGCCCAUGUUUUCACUUAGAUAGGAUAAUAUAUCGUCCAAUGUUUCUUUGCCUUCAUGCCACUAUUUUCUUUGCCUUGAUGCCACCAGUUUAAUUUUGUGAAGCUCGUUAAUUCGAUCGGAUUGUGAGAUUGUGUAUGAUCUCACAGUUAUAAUCGUCUACACUAUUAUAUUGUAACCUACAUGGAAAUGGAUGGAGCAUAGCCCAACACUACCAUUGAAAUACAGGACGAUGACUCUAUUCCAUAGUAUAAUGAGUUAAGGCAGAGGCUGGUCUAAGAAAUUAAUUCACUUGUGCCACCAGUAAAUUAUCUUGCUAAAACAUUAGCCUAUAGGAUUAUUAUUUGCAUAGCAGUAGGGUUACAGAGGUAAUUCCUCAAAUCACUGAUGUCACAGCCUGAAAGGACACCACUGAGUGCAGUGUGGAUCUGCCCCUAAGUUAAGGUGUUGUUGUCUCUUUUUUCUUUUUCUCUAAAAUGACAUAGGAAAUAUCUCAUUUGCCGACUAUGUUGGGUUCCACUGGCUUGGCUUUAUUUUCGCAUAAUGCCUCCAUAUCCAUAUGUGCUUGUUUCAACUGCAAAGAAUAUGUAGAUAUCUAAACAGGGCUAGGAAAUGAUGAUAGAUUCACUUGAACUAUGUUAUGUAAAUGAGAUGGCCUACAUAGUAAAAACCUACCUUCAGAAUUAUUUUUCUCAUCAUUGCUUAAGUACCUACCGAUGCAGCAUAAGUAAAAGUAAAACUAUGCGGAAAGCUACGAAUGUCCUCUGACCACAGUUUAAUCUGUACCAUAUCAAAUAUUUGUAUGUUAAGAAAAAACACCGCUCAACAAUGGUUGCGAGUGAAAGAUUUAUUUUGGUUAACUUUGCAUGUGUCGUAUACAUUCCCGUAUACAAUUUGGCCUUGAUGACAAUCAAUCACUUUAGAGUUAAAUGGUUGUGAAAUACAAUGAACUCAGAUGCCAAUUCCUUUUUGGUAGAUGGAACAUGACAUAUGGAAUAUUUAUGGAGUCACAUUCUUGUAUUUGUUGUUUGCAGCCUCAAGAAAACUGAAGUUUGAACACAUGACAAUUGAUCGUGCUUGCCUUUUGUGAAUGGACUAGGCUGUUCGCUUGACUUUUAUAGAUGAAGUGAAGUUGCGCUUGUAGUUUUCUAAGGUUUAUGUAUAUAAUUAUGUGGAUUGCAUUAGCCCCAAUAUAAUAUCAUGUAUAUACCUCCCGCUGUGGUGUCUGUCCCUAAGCACAUCACCUAACAUAGGCUUGGAUCCUGUCAUCUUAUUUUGGAUUAGUUUCCUAUAUCUUCAUCUUAUUUUGGAUUAGUUUCCUACAUCUUAUUUUUGAUUAGUUUUCUGAUGUAUCAAGUUUGAUCAUUACGCUAUGUUACACCUCUAUGUAUGAUAACUUGUGCUAAAACAGAAAACAACUGUAACUUUAAUGUAAAUUAUGUUCGGUCUCUUUAUGUUAUUAGUCUGACCAUUGUUUUGUUGCUUUCAUGGGAGAUUACAUCAACAAUUUACCCACAUAACCCUAACUAGGGUUACUUAACAAUUUACUACUGAUUUCCCCUUGUGUUAGAUAGGUCGCACGAAGUGGGAUUUUCUAUGGGAACUGCUAACCGACAAGGUAACUGCAGUUGCAUUCUUCAUUUCUUGUACAUGAUCAAGCACAGUUUCUGUUCUCUUUUUAAGUUUGUAUAUAUAAUAUAGUAUACAAAUAUUCAUAAGAGUAUUGCUUUUCAAAGUUUUUUAAUCUUCGGAUCUCUUAUGAAUACCUAACACCACUGCAAGCAGCAAUAGGAGUUCUUCAGAAGGUAAGUGUAUCUGGCUUCUGCAGUUACGUUAUUAGCAGCUCAAAGGAUAUAACCUGAUGGAGUCCAUUCUAUCGAUACGUGUAGAAGCCAUUGUAGUAUUUUAGGAAACGGCAUGUCCAUACACCUGGGAAUAGGGAGCAGUGCAGUUCUUUAGGAUAAUAGUCUUUUAGAAGUAUGCCAACCUUUGCUCUUUCAGGAAGGGCCAUUUAGAUACUGGGCCAUCGUCAAUGUUGUGGUUUUUAUUGAUAGAUUAUAUAUACAUGAGAUUAUAUGAACAAGUUCUACAAUAAGGGAAUAGGUUGGUGAGUAAGCAGUUUCUUCCAGAACCUUAUACAACAUGUACGGAUGUGCUAAUAGCUUGGCCCUUUGUUAGAAUUAAGACUCCAUUGGCAUUGUCCUUUGAUUUAUUAUUGUUUUUAGCUUACCUUGUUAUUUAAGACUCCAGCUAUUCUUUGUCUUAAAUAUACUAGAAUAAUAUAUUCUUUGUCUUGAGCUACCUGCUUAUCAUGUUGUCUCUUUUUAGAGUUCUUAAGAUCGACCCAUUUUUUUUAAUAUUUCACAUUCCACUUCUACUAUAAGACAACAACACUUUUGUGGUUUCAGAGUUCUUAAGAUCAACACACCUACUUUUGCAUUGGGAGUUACAGACUAAUCAACAGAUCUAUGUAGUUGUAGUGACGAUGCUCCUCCAAAAUUAGAUAUUCAAUUUGAUCUAAGCAGUGAACCCGCAUGUUCACUUCACUUAGAAGCAUAGUACCAAACUUGUAUAAGCAAUACUAUCCAGGACUGGUAGACCUUUGAUAGCUAGCUCUCAACUGAACCAAUUAGGACCCUUGUGAAGUGUGAUGGGCUCACCCUAGAGGUCAAAUGCCAUUGAGAGUUAUGCUUUGAACUAUUUUGGUGUCUUUUUUGCUACUAAGUUUUAUAGUGUCACAUUUGUAGGGUAUCAAACAAUUCUUUGUUGCUGUUAAGAAAGAGGAGUGAAAGUUUGAUACGCUUUGUGAUCUUUAGGGUGGAUUGGUUUGCUAAAAAAAUGUGCACCAAUAACUUCACGAUAUUAGCUAUGCAUAGUGACAUGCCCCAACAAGAAAGGGAUGUAAUUAUGGGUGAGUUUUAAGUCUGGCGCAACUCAUGUGCUGAUAACUACGGAUGUUUGGGCUCGAGGAUUGGACGUUC